This 204-nucleotide unclassified non-coding RNA is filed under the name uncultured Agaricales. RNAcentral describes it as "sequence contains ITS2". The record is from RNAcentral. Lineage: Eukaryota; Fungi; Basidiomycota; Agaricomycetes; Agaricales.
AAUUCUCAACCUUUCUGUCUUUUUGAACACAGUUAGGCUUGGAUGUUGGAAGUUGCCGGCUUCUUGUGAAUUCGGCUCUUCUCAAAUUCAUUAGCAGAACCUGUGCUGGUCAUCUUUGGUAUGAUAAUUAUCUAUAUCACAGAGGAUGAGUUUCCCUCAAUGGGAGCGUUCCGCUUCAAAUGGUCUUUUGAGACAUUUUUGACU